This 253-nucleotide ribosomal RNA is filed under the name uncultured bacterium. RNAcentral describes it as "partial 16S ribosomal RNA". It matches the Rfam family "Bacterial small subunit ribosomal RNA", at positions 524 to 776 of the family's 1533-position model. The record is from RNAcentral.
UACGUAGGGCGCAAGCGUUGUCCGGAAUUAUUGGGCGUAAAGAGCUCGUAGGCGGUUUGUCGCGUCUGUCGUGAAAGCUUGGGGCUUAACCCCAAGUCUGCGGUGGAUACGGGCAGACUAGAGGCAGGUAGGGGAGAACGGAAUUCCCGGUGUAGCGGUGAAAUGCGCAGAUAUCGGGAGGAACACCGGUGGCGAAGGCGGAUCUCUGGGCCUUGCCUGACGCUGAGGCGCGAAAGCUAGGGGAGCGAACAGG